This is a long non-coding RNA of Hemicordylus capensis (graceful crag lizard), 616 nucleotides long. RefSeq lists it as uncharacterized. Lineage: Eukaryota; Metazoa; Chordata; Lepidosauria; Squamata; Cordylidae. The transcript has 3 exons. The record is from RefSeq and is a predicted model, not a curated record.
GAUGCAGUGCUAAGCCUCAUUCGCCAAGGUGCUUAAAAAGAAAAAACAGGUUUCGCCAGGGUUUAUCAUCCUGGCUAGGAACAAAAUGUAAUCUCUCUAAAGUAGGCUGUCUGCCUAAUGUUUGGGCGUCAUAUUUCUUCAUAAGGGGUUAACCCCUUUUGCAGGGAAUGGAAUCAUGCAAAGAGUGCCUCUCUCUGGGAUGGGAACUUUGCUUCCUGGGACAUUACACAACGGCCUGUCAGCAACACCUAGAAGAGGAACAUUUGCCAUCAAGCUUGCAAACCACCCCAUAGCAGUUUUAUAGAGGAAGAGGCAGAAUGGAAGCCAAAUGAUGUGGGUAAAUACCUCAUCAGGAUGCAGAUGAAACAUGAUCUGGGGUUUGUUUUAUUUGUAGGUGUGCUGGGACACAUCUCCCUGUUGUAUAUUUUGGCGUACAGAAAUAUUUCUGAUGGAAAUCUUUAAAAAAUUAAAUAAAUAAAAAACACACACAUGAAGAAGACCCAACCAAGGAGAAAGCUCAGCAAACAUACAUGGACAGGUAGAUAAUUCAGUGACACGUGGUUGUAAGUCGUAGUCAUUUUUGCUCCCUCUGUGUAUUAAAGAAAAUAUUUACAAA